AUGUAGCUCUACGGGUUACGCCUGUGAUGUUCAGGACUCAUUCUUGUAUUUUACACUCUCUGAUGUUUUCUUUUCUUCAUGUCUAGUGUGUGAAUCAUUUCUGGUUUGUCUCUUCAGUGUCUCAUGUGGCCCUGCAGCUUCUCCUCCUCCACCUCCUCCUGAAGCCUUCAUCUUCUUCAUCAUCAGCUGCUCAGUGACUCUGUUGGACGUCUCACCGUGUGGCAGCAGCUCAGGAGUUUGCAGUCAACCAAGGCCGACUCAGAAUCACUCCCACCGGGAAGAUCUGUGAAGGAAGGUCCACCCGGCUGGUCCAGAAGCUCCGGUCCAGCAGAGCAGCGUCAGGAUGGAGACGUAACCGGAUCCAUCUUUGAAGUCCAGUCCACUCCAGUCCAGUGACACUCCACACCACAGCGGGGAUUCGAACCGUGACCGUCCACAUGACAGACACACACCCUCUGUGUGAGCUAUCUGUCACACAAGGUCCUUGGUGGAGUUUGUUGUAAUCAUGGUUGCAAGAGGUUGUCAUGCAGCCAAAGUGUAAAAAGAGCCUUGAGCUGGAUUCCAACUAGGGACCUUCUGGAUGAAAGGCAGAUAACUUACCACUGCACUAUCCUUCCUACUGGGUGUAGCUGUUAGUUUUCGUAAAUGAUGGUACACAAAAGUAUUAAGGAAGUGAAGAUAAUAAAGGUACUAAGGUACCGGGGAGGCAAAAAACUUACCUCUACACCACCUGUCCUACAAGAUGUUGCUCUAACUUUGCUUAAAUGAUGCUAUCAAUUAUUACUGGCGCAACCAAACGACAAAUAAAAGGUGUGAGUGGAGAUCUGAAUCAUGUGAGGUUUGUUUCUGAGACUGAAUACACCUGAUCUCAUCUGAUCUGCAAAGCUAAGCAGGGUUGGGCCUGGUUAGUAUUUGGAUGGGAGACUACCUGGGAAUACCAGGUGCUGUAAGCUUUUUACUUCUCCUCACAACCUGAACAACACACUGCUAGCGACAGCUAUCAACUAAAACCUCUUGGUUUCUUUAUUAUACACUCUAUGAGGUGGAUAAGCUGCAGCUCAUGCUGAUUUAUUGCUGCUUCUGGUUGGAGCCAAAGAACAAAGGCUUCACCUGUUGGAGCAGCUGAUGUCCUGCAGCCUCUUCACCACAGAAAGCCUCUGACAGCUUCAAUUCUUUACACUCCGACUGCAAGACACCAAUCACAUAGGAACAUUUACAUGUAUGGAACAAAGAGCUGAGCUGACACUCAACAUAUGUUUGAGCAUUUAUUGAUAAAGACAUUCAGACAUGUCUAGAGAUAGAACACCAACGCACGGUGUAAGAAAGGUCAGAACAGACUUCACUUGCUCAGGAAACUGAGGUCCUUCGGGGUGCAGGGAGCAAUUCUGAGGACCUUUUAUGGUUGUGUGGUGGUAUCAGCCAUCCUGUAUGGACUGGUCUGCUGGAGCAGCAGCAUCACGGCUGCAGACAGGAAGAGACUAAAGAAACUGGUUAAGAAAGCAAGCUCUGUCCUGGGCUGGUGGUAGACAGGAGGAUGAUGACAAAGCUGUUGUCUAUCAUGGAGGACAUCUCCCACCCCCUGCAGGAAACAGGACCAUCACCGGCAGCUCCUUCAGGGACAGACUGCUUCACCCACGAUGUUUGAAGGAGGUCCUUCCUUCCUGCAGCAGUCAGACUGUGUUCAAUCAAGCCUGCUCCCAGUAGUUCAGAUCACCCAUGAAGUAACUGCAAUAAAAUGUAAAUAAGUCAAUAUGUGCAAUUUCACGGGGUUUUUUUUUUUUUACAAGCAUUUCUAUUUCUUCUCUAAGGAGAAAGCAUCUAUUUAUAUCUGUGCACUGAGUGCUGCUUUUUUUUUUUUUUUUUUAACUUUUUUUCCUAUCUGCUACUGCCACACUGAAAAUUUCCCCACUGCAGGAUCUACCUAUCCAUCCAUCUAUCUAUGGUCCAUCUACCUCCCUACCUAUCUAUCCAUCCAUCCAUCCAUCCAUCCAUCCAUUCAUCCAUCCAUCCAUCUAUCCAUCCAUCCAUCCAUCCAUCCAUCUCUCUCACAGAUGUGGGGGUUGAUUCACCUGUUCUCAAUCACCUUAAUCCACGAAGGCCCGGUUCUUCAUUCUUCCGCUCUCUGCCAGACCACAGACUUUGAAACCAGAACCUUUCUCCUACAAUUAGUCUGGUUUCCCCUUUUUGUUUUCACCUUGGUUUAGUUAUCCUUUCUGUGUUGGUUUUAGUUUCAUUCGUUAAAUAAACUCCUUGUAAUCUUUGA
Amphiprion ocellaris (clown anemonefish) is the source of this 2263-nucleotide long non-coding RNA. RefSeq lists it as uncharacterized. The record is from RefSeq and is a predicted model, not a curated record. NCBI's taxonomy places the organism in Eukaryota, Metazoa, Chordata, Actinopteri, Pomacentridae. The transcript has 3 exons.